RNAcentral lists this long non-coding RNA (283 nucleotides) under Fukomys damarensis (Damara mole-rat). RNAcentral describes it as "lncRNA (ENSFDAG00000025700.1)". Lineage: Eukaryota; Metazoa; Chordata; Mammalia; Rodentia; Bathyergidae. The record is from RNAcentral.
GGGGAGUUUGCACAUGUAUAUAACACACCUCAAUUGUUCUUCAUCUCCUUCUCCUCCACCCCUUCUCCCUCCUAUUUUUGAAUAUCUUCUUUGAGAAAGAUCUAUGUCCUUACUUCCUGUUAUCUACCAUUGAUUUUAUUCUUUAUAUUUUGAUUUAAAUGUACAAAUUUAAAAGACAAUUACUUUGGGGAAUUCGAAAGAUUUCUUGCUCCAGAAAUGUAGCCAUUCGUGCUGCACAGUGCUCCGGCCUAAUAUACCAAAGUAUUCUGUAGCCGAGAUCCAC